Molecule: non-coding RNA, 408 nt
Organism: Gracilinanus agilis (Agile Gracile Mouse Opossum)
Lineage: Eukaryota; Metazoa; Chordata; Mammalia; Didelphimorphia; Didelphidae
Source: the annotation of a RefSeq genome assembly
AUGGUGUCCCCCACCCAGCUCCUGGGCUUGUUAGUACUCUGGAUCUCUGGUUCCCAGGGACAAAUUGUGGUGACUCAGUCUCCAACCUUAGUGUCUGCAUUUCUGGGGGAGACUGUCAAUAUAACCUGUAGAACCAGUAAGAGUGUGACUCAGGAGGGAGGUUAUCAUUCUCUCCACUGGUAUCAGCAGAAGUCAGGACAAGCUCCUAAACUGAUCAUGCACGGGGCAUUUAAUCCCAUCCCUGGCCUCUCAUCCAGGUUCAUAGGCUAUGAUGAAACUUUCUUUGGAGAUGAUUUUACUCUCACAAUACGCAAUGUGGAAGCUGAAGAUGUUGCAGAUUAUUAUUGCCAGCAAGGCUAUAGCCGCCUGUACCACAGUGUUUCAACCUUGAAAAAAAAGCCCCCAUAG